GGGCUCGUAGAUCAGGGGUAGAUCGUUGCGUUCGCAACGCAAAGGCCGCGGGUUCAAAUCCCGCCGAGUCCAC
Molecule: transfer RNA, 73 nt
Filed under: Candidatus Methanoperedentaceae archaeon GB37
Lineage: Archaea; Methanobacteriati; Methanobacteriota; Methanomicrobia; Methanosarcinales; Candidatus Methanoperedentaceae
Also listed under: 1 other name
Description: Candidatus Methanoperedenaceae archaeon GB37 tRNA-Ala
Rfam family: tRNA
About the family: Transfer RNA (tRNA) molecules are approximately 80 nucleotides in length.
Source: RNAcentral